GUGGAUUAGAUACCCUAGUAGUCCACGCCGUAAACGUUGGGCACUAGGUGUGGGCUCUUACCAACGGAGUCCGUGCCGUAGCUAACGCAUUAAGUGCCCCGCCUGGGGAGUACGGCCGCAAGGCUAAAACUCAAAGGAAUUGACGGGGGCCCGCACAAGCGGCGGAGCAUGUUGCUUAAUUCGAUGCAACGCGAAGAACCUUACCUGGGUUUGACAUGUAGGGAAAAGCCGUGGAGACACGGUGUCCUUCGGGGCCUUACACAGGUGGUGCAUGGUCGUCGACAACU
Molecule: ribosomal RNA, 287 nt
Filed under: uncultured bacterium
Lineage: Bacteria
Description: partial 16S ribosomal RNA
Rfam family: Bacterial small subunit ribosomal RNA
Source: RNAcentral